This 1253-nucleotide ribosomal RNA is filed under the name metagenome. RNAcentral's name for it is "bacterial LSU rRNA". It matches the Rfam family "Bacterial large subunit ribosomal RNA", at positions 1633 to 2874 of the family's 2925-position model. The record is from RNAcentral.
CCUACACGACCGUACCGCAAACCGACACUGGUGCGCGAGAUGAGUAUUCUAAGGCGCUUGAGAGAACUCAGGAGAAGGAACUCGGCAAAUUGACACCGUAACUUCGGAAGAAGGUGUGCCUUUAGUAGGUGAAGUCCCUCGCGGAUGGAGCCCAAUGAGGUUGCAAAAAAUCGGUGGCUGCGACUGUUUAUUAAAAACACAGCACUCUGCAAACACGAAAGUGGACGUAUAGGGUGUGACGCCUGCCCGGUGCUGGAAGAUUAAAUGAUGGGGUGCAAGCUCUUGAUUGAAGUCCCAGUAAACGGCGGCCGUAACUAUAACGGUCCUAAGGUAGCGAAAUUCCUUGUCGGGUAAGUUCCGACCUGCACGAAUGGCGUAACGAUGGCCACACUGUCUCCUCCUGAGACUCAGCGAAGUUGAAAUGUUUGUGAUGAUGCAAUCUCCCCGCGGAAAGACGGAAAGACCCCAUGGACCUUUACUGUAGCUUUGUAUUGGACUUUGAACAGAUCUGUGUAGGAUAGGUGGGAGGCUUUGAAGCAGGGUCGCUAGAUCUUGUGGAGCCAACGUUGAAAUACCACCCUGGUGUGUUUGAGGUUCUAACCUAGGCCCGUAAUCCGGGUUGGGGACAGUGCAUGGUAGGCAGUUUGACUGGGGCGGUCUCCUCCCAAAGUGUAACGGAGGAGUUCGAAGGUACGCUAGUUACGGUCGGACAUCGUGACGAUAGUGCAAUGGCAUAAGCGUGCUUAACUGCGAGACUGACAAGUCGAGCAGAUGCGAAAGCAGGACAUAGUGAUCCGGUGGUUCUGUAUGGAAGGGCCAUCCCUCAACGGAUAAAAGGUACUCUGGGGAUAACAGGCUGAUACCGCCCAAGAGUUCAUAUCGACGGCGGUGUUUGGCACCUCGAUGUCGGCUCAUCUCAUCCUGGGGCUGUAGCCGGUCCCAAGGGUAUGGCUGUUCGCCAUUUAAAGAGGUACGUGAGCUGGGUUUAAAACGUCGUGAGACAGUUUGGUCCCUAUCUUCCGUGGGCGCUGCAGAUUUGAGGAAGCCUGCUCCUAGUACGAGAGGACCGGAGUGGACGCACCUCUGGUGUAUCGGUUGUCACGCCAGUGGCAUUGCCGAGUAGCUAUGUGCGGAAGAGAUAACCGCUGAAAGCAUCUAAGCGGGAAACUCGUUUCAAGAUGAGAUCUGCCGGGGCCUUGAGCCCCCUGAAGAGUCGUUCAAGACCAGGACGUUGAUAGGUCGUGUGUGGAAGC